This 10185-nucleotide long non-coding RNA is filed under the name Sorghum bicolor (sorghum). Its description in RNAcentral is "long non-coding RNA (SBIC_LNC004794)". Lineage: Eukaryota; Viridiplantae; Streptophyta; Magnoliopsida; Poales; Poaceae. The record is from RNAcentral.
GUGAAGACGAGACACAAAUCUAUGUGGCUUCCGAACAACACGAUCCGAAACCCCGCAUUUUUUUAUUUUUUUAAUAUUUUUCAUUUACUUAGGAGCACUAAAGAAGUAACCACAGAAAAUUUGAGCUUAAUCAAGUAAAAGACGUGGCCUGCGGAAUUUUGUGAAGAUUACAAAAAAUGUGAAAAAAACUUCACAAGGUGAAAACUCAAACUUCGAAGACGAAUUUGGAGAUUCUAAAAUUUUCAAACCCCCUAAAACUGAGGACAGACAGACACUAAAUUUUUUUUUGAUCGAUUUUGAUAUAUGGAACAUUGAAAUCGGAGUUUGUAUGUGAAAGUUAUGGCUGUUUUACGAACGGACUCCGAAUUUGAGGACAAAACGGUCCGAAAGUGGGAAAAAGUUGCGUCGAUGGCUAGAAAUUGAUGGAAACGGUGGGAAAAAACACAAACUGGACUCUAACAAGACCUAACCAGCAACAAGACCUCGUCCAGGACACAAACUCAAAACUGCGGACUCGGAAACUGAAAUAUGCAAAGGCUAUGGCGCGGAAGGGUUGUAGGACACAAAAAUGAUAUGGCACUGGACUUAUGGGACAAACACAAGAACACUCGAAACUAAGGUUAGAUGUGAACCUAACGGUAUACCUGAACCUUUGAUUACCACUUGAUGAGAACAAGGGUGGCCCGAUCUUCCGAAAGGUUCUGUUAACUCUCGAUUUGGUGGAGACGAGACACAAAUCGAUCCGGCUUCCGAACAACACGAUCCGAAACCCUGCAAUUUUUUUUAUUUUUUUGAUAUUUUUCUUUUACUUAGGUGCACUAAAGAAGUAACCACAGAAAAUUUGAGCUUAAAUAAGUGAAAGACGUGGCCUGCGAAAUUUUCUAAAUUUUGUGAAAAAAGUUUAAAAAACUUCACGAGGUGAAAACUUAAACUUCGGAGGCGUAUUUGGAAAUUCUAAAAUUUUCAAACCCGCUAGUGGUAGGGACAGGCAGACCCAAAAUUUUUUUCUGAUUGAUUUUGAUAUAUGGAACAUUGAAAUCGGAGUUCGUACGCGAAUGUUAUGGCUAUUUUACGAACGGACUCUGAAUUAGAGAACAAAACGGUCCGAAAGUGGGAAAAAUUUGUGGCGAUGGCUAGAAAUUGAUGGAAACGGUGGGGAAAAACAUACUAACUGGACUCUAACAAGACCUAACCAGCAACAACCUCGACCAGGACACAAACUCAAAACUGCGGACUCUGAAUCUGAAAUAUGCAAAAGCUAUGGCGCGGAAGGGUUGUAGAACAGGAAAACAAUAUGGCACUGGACUUAUGGGACGAACACAAGAACACUCGAAACUAAGGGUAGAUGUGAACCUAACGGUAUACCUAAAGCUUUGAUUACCACUUGAUGAGAACAAGGGUGGCCCGAUCUUCCGAAAAGUUUUGGUAACUCUCGAUUUGGUGGAGACGAGACACAAAUCGAUACAGCUUCUGAAUAACACGAUCCGAAACCCUGCAUUUUUUUAUUUUUUUGAUAUUUUUAUUUUACUUAGGAGUGCUAAAGGAGUAACCACAGAAAAUUUGAGCUUAAGCAAGUGACAGACAUGGCCUGUGGAAUUUUCUGAAGAUUGUGAAAAAUGUGAAAAAACUUCACGUAUUGGAAACUCAAACUUCGGAGGCGAAUUUCAGGAUUCUAAAAUUGUCAAACCUGCGAAAGUUAGGGACAAACAGAUUUGAAAUUUUUUCUGAUUUAUUUUGAUAUAUGAAACGUUGAAAUCGGAGUUCGUAUGCGAAGGUUAUGGCUGUUUUACGAACAUACUUCGAAUUAGAGGACAAAACGGUUCGAAAAUGGGAAAAUUUUGCGGCGGUGGCAAGAAAUUGAUGGAAACGGUGGGGAAAAGAUAUGAACUGGACUCUAACAAGACCUAACCAGCAACAAAACCUCGACCAGGACACAAACUCAACACUGCAGACUCUGAAACUGAAAUAUGCAAAGGCUAUGGCGCGGAAGGGUUGUAGGACAGGAAAACGAUAUGGCACUGGACUUAUGGGACGAACACAAGAACACUCAAUACUAAGGUUAGAUGUGAACCUAACAGUAUACCUGAAGCUUUGAUUACAACUUGAUGAGAACAAGGGUGGCCCGAUCUUCUGAAAGGUUCUCAUAACUCUCGAUUUGGUGAAGACGAGACACAAAUCGAUCUGGCUUCCAAACAACACAAUCCGAAACCCCGCAUUUUUUUAUUUUUUUAAUAUUUUCCUUUUACUUAGGAGCACUAAAGAAGUAACCACAUAAAAUUUGAGCUUAAUCAAGUAAAAGACGUGGCCUGCGGAAUUUUGUGAAGAUUACAAAAAAUGUGAAAAAAACUUCACAAGGUGAAAACUCAAACUUCGAAGACGAAUUUGGAGAUUCUAAAAUUUUCAAACCCCCCAAAACCGAGGACAGACAGACACUAAAUUUUUUUCUGCUCGAUUUUGAUAUAUGGAACAUUGAAAUCGGAGUUUGUAUGUGAAAGUUAUGGCUGUUUUACGAACGGACUCCGAAUUAGAGGACAAAACGGUCCGAAAGUGGGAAAAAGGUUCGGCGAUGGCUAGAAAUUUAUGGAAACGGUGGGAAAAAAAAUACAAACUGGACUCUAACAAGACCUAACCAGCAACAAGACCUCGACCAGGACACAAACUCAAAAUUGCGGACUCAGAAACUGAAAUAUGCAAAGGCUAUGGCGCGAGAGGGUUGUAGGACACAAAAAUGAUAUGGCACUGGACUUAUGGGACAAACAUAAGAACACUCGAAACUAAGGGUAGAUGUGAACCUAACGGUAUACCUGAAGCUUUGAUUACCACUUCAUGAGAACAAGGGUGGCCCGAUCUUCCCAAAGGUUCUGUUAACUCUCGAUUUGGUGGAGACGAGACACAAAUCGAUCCGGCUUCCGAACAACACGAUCCGAAACCCUGCAAUUUUUUUUUAUUUUUUUGAUAUUUUUCUUUUACUUAGGUGCAUUAAAGAAGUAACCACAGAAAAUAUGAGCUUAAACAAGUGAAAGACGUGGCCUGCGGAAUUUUCUAAAUUUUGUGAAAAUGUGAAAAAAACUUCACGAGGUGAAAACUUAAACUUCGGAGGCGUAUUUGGAAAUUCUAAAAUUUUCAAACCCGCUAGUGGUAGGGACAGGUAGAGCCGAAAUUUUUUUCUGAUUGAUUUUGAUAUAUGGAACGUUGAAAUCGGAGUUUGUACGCGAAUGUUAUGGCUAUUUUACGAACGGACUCCGAAUUAGAGAACAAAACGGUCCGAAAGUGGGAAAAAUUUGCGGCGAUGGCUAGAAAUUGAUGAAAACGGUGGGGAAAAACAUACUAACUGAACUCUAACAAGACCUAACCAGCAACAACCUCGAUCAGGACACAAACUCAAAACUGCGGACUCUCAAUCUAAAAUAUGUAAAAGCUAUGGCGCGGAAGGGUUGUAGAACAGGAAAACAAUAUGGCACUGGACUUAUGGGACGAACACAAGAACACUAGAAACUAAGAGUAGAUGUGAACCUAGCGGUAUACCUAAAGCUUUGAUUACCACUUGAUGAGAACAAGGGUGGCCCGAUCUUACGAAAAGUUAUGUUAACUCUCGAUUUGGUGGAGACGAGACACAAAUCGAUACAGCUUCUGAACAACACGAUCCGAAACCCUAUAUUUUUUUUAUUUUUUUGAUAUUUUUAUUUUACUUAGGAGUGCUAAAGGAGUAACCACAGAAAAUUUGAGCUUAAGCAAGUGAAAGACAUGGCCUGUGGAAUUUUCUGAAGAUUGUGAAAAAUGUGAAAAAACUUCACGUAUUGGAAACUCAAACUUCGAAGGCGAAUUUUAGGAUUCUAAAAGUGUCAAACCCGCGAAACUUAGGGACAACCAGAUCUGAAAUUUUUUUCUGAUCGAUUUUGAUAUAUGAAACAUUGAAAUCGGAGUUCGUAUGCGAAAGUUAUGGCUGUUUUACGAACAGACUUCGAAUUAGAGGACAAAACGGUCCGAAAGUGGAAAAAUUUUGCGCCGGUGGCCAGAAAUUGAUGGAAACGGUGCGGAAAACACAUGAACUGGACUCUAACAAGACCUAACCAGCAACAAGACCUCGACUAGGACACAAACUCAACACUGCGGACUCUGAAACUGAAAUAUGCAAAGGCAAUGGCGCGGAAGGGUUGUAGGAAAGGAAAACUAUAUAGCACUGGACUUAUGGAACGAACACAAGAACACUCAAAACUAAGGCUAGAUGUGAACCUAAUGGUAUAUAUGAAGCUUUGAUUACCAUUUGAUGAGAACAAGGGUGGCACGAUCUUCUGAAAGGUUCUAGUAACUCUCGAUUUGGUGAAGACGAGACACAAAUCGAUAUGGCUUCCGAACAACACGAUCCGAAACCCCGCAUUUUUUUUAUUUUUUUAAUAUUUUCCUUUUACUUAGGAGCACUAAAGAAGUAACCACAGAAAAUUUGAACUUAAUCGAGUAAAAGACGUGGGCUGCGGAAUUUUGUGAAGAUUACACAAAAUGUGAAAAAAACUUCACAAGGUGAAAACUCAAACUUCGAAGACGAAUUUGGAGAUUCUAAAAUUUUCAAACCCCCUAAAACCGAGGACAGACAGACACUAUAUUUUUUCUGAUCGAUUUUGAUAUAUGGAACAUUGAAAUCGAAGUUUGUAUGUGAAAGUUAUGGCUGUUUUACGAACGGACUCCGAAUUAGAGGACAAAACGGUCCGAAAGUGGGAAAAUUUUGCGGCGGUGGCAAGAAAUUGAUGGAAACGGUGGGGAAAACACAUGAACUGGACUCUAACAAGACCUAACCAGCAACAAGACCUCGACCAGAACACAAACUCAACACUGCGGACUCUGAAACUGAAAUAUGCAAAGGUUAUGGCGCGGAAGGGUUGUAGGACAGGAAAACGAUAUGGCACUGGACUUAUGGGACGAACACAAGAACACUCAAAACUAAGGGUAGAUGUGAACCUAACGGUAUACCUGAAGCUUUGAUUACCACUUGAUAAGAACAAGGAUGGUCCGAUCUUCUGAAAGGUUCUGGUAACUCUUGAUUUGGUGGAGACGAGACAUAAAUUGAUCCGGCUUCCGAACAACACGAUCCGAAACCCUGCAAAUUUUUUAUUUUUUUGAUAUUUUUCUAUUACUUAGGUGCACUAAAGAAGUAACCAUAGAAAAUUUGAGCUUAAACAAGUGAAAGACGUGGCCUGCAGAAUUUUGUGAAGAUUACAAAAAAUGUGAAAAAAACUUCACAAGGUGAAAACUCAAAAUUCGAAGACGAAUUUGGAGAUUCUAAAAUUUUCAAACCCCCUAAAACCGAGGACAGACAGACACUAUAUUUUUUCUCAUCGAUUUUGAUAUAUGGAACAUUGAAAUCGAAGUUUGUAUGUGAAAGUUAUGGCUGUUUUACGAACGGACUCCGAAUUAGAGGACAAAACGGUCCGGAAGUGGGAAUAAUUUGUGGUGGUGGCUAGAAAUUGAUGGAAAUGGUGGGCAAAAACAUACCAACUAGACUCUAACAAGACCUAACCAGCAACAUCCUCGACCAGGACACAAACUUAAAAUUGCGGACUCUGAAACUGAAAUAUGCAAAGGCUAUUGCGCGGAAGGGUUGUAGGACAAGAAAACGAUAUGGCACUGGACUUAUGGGACGAAUACAAGAACACUCGAAACUAAGGGUAGAUGUGAACCUAACGGUAUACCUGAAGCUUUAUUACCACUUGAUGAAAUCAAGGGUGGCCCGAUCUUUCGACAGGUUCUGGUAACUCUCGAUUUGGUGGAGACGAGACAUAAAUCAAUGCGGCUUCCAAACAACGCGAUCUGAAACCCUGCAAUUUUUUUAUUUUAUUGAUAUUUUUAUUUUACUUAGGAGCAUUAAAGAAGUAACCAUAGAAAAUUUGAGCUUAAACAAGUAAAUGACGUGGCCUGCUGAAUUUUCUGAAGAUUGCGAAAAAUGUGAAAAAAACUUCACAAGGUGAAAACUCAAACUUCGGAGGUGAAUUUGGAGAAUCUAAAACUUUCAAAGCCGCAAAUAGCAGUGACAGACAGAUCCGAAUUUUUUUGAUCGAUUUUGAUAUAUCGAACAUUGAAAUCGGAGUUUGUAUGUGCAAGUUAUGGCUGUUUUACGAACGGACUCCGAAUUAGAGGACAAAACGGUCCGAAAGUGGGAAAAACUUGCAGCGAUGGCUAGAAACUGAUGGAAACGUUGGGGAAAAAACACGAACUGAACUCUAACAAGACCUAACCAGCAACAAGACCUCGACCAGGACACAAACUCAAAACUGCAGACUCGGAAACUGAAAUAUGCAAAGGCUAUGGCGCGGAAGGGUUGUAGGACACAAAAACGAUAUGGCACUGGACUUAUGGGACGAACACAAGAACACUCGAAACUAAGGGUAGAUGUGAACCUAAAUAUAUACCUGAAGCUUUGAUUACUACUUGAUGAGAACAAGGGUGGCCCGAUCUUCCGAAAGGUUCUGUUAACUCUCGAUUUAGUGGAGACGAGACACAAAUCGAUCCGGCUUCCGAACAACACGAAGGCAAACCCUGCAAUUUUUUUAUUUUUUUAUGUUUUUCUUUUACUUAGGUGCACUAAAGAAGUAACCACAGAAAAUUUGAGCUUAAACAAGUGAAAGACGUGGCUUGCAGAAUUUUCUAUAGAUUGUGAAAAAUGUGAAAAAAACUUCACGAGGUGAAAACUUAAACUUCGGAGGUGUAUUUGGAAGUUCUAAAUUUUUCAAACCCGCUUGUGGUAGGGACAGGCAAACCCGAAAUUUUUUCUGAUUGAUUUUGAUAUAUGGAACGUUGAAAUCGGAGUUCGUACGCGAAUGUUAUGGCUAUUUUACAAACGAACUGCGAAUUAGAGUACAAAACGGUCCGAAAGUGGGAAAAAUUUGCGGCGGUGCCCAGAAAUUGAUGGAAACGGUGGGGAAAAACAUACUAACUGGACUCUAACAAGACCUAACCAGCAACAACCUCGACCAGGACACAAACUCAAAACAACGGACUCUGAAUCUGAAAUAUGGAAAAGCUAUGGCGCGGAAGGGUUGUAGAACAGGAAAACAAUAUGGCACUGGACUCAUGGGACGAACAUAAGAACACAAGAAACUAAGGGUAGAUGUGAACCUAACGGUACACCUAAAGCUUUGAUUACCACUUGAUGAGAACAAGGGUGGCCCGAUCUUCCGAAAGGUUUUGGUAACUCUCGAUUUGGUGGAGAUGAGACACAAAUCGAUACGGCUUAUGAACAACACGAUCCGAAACCCUACAUUUUUUUUAUUUUUUUGAUAUUUUUAUUUUACUUAGGAGCACUAAAGGAGUAACCACAGAAAAUUUGAGCUUAAACAAGUGAAAGACAUGGCCUGUUGAAUUUCUCAAGAUUGUGAAAAAUGUGAAAAGAACUUCACGUAUUGGAAACUCAAACUUCGGAGGCGAAUUUCAAGAUUCUAAAAUUGUCAAACACGCAAAAGUGAGGGACAAACAUAUCUCAAAUUUUUUCUUAUCGAUUUUGAUAUAUGGAACGUUGAAAUCGGAGUUCGUAUGCGAAAGUUAUGGCUGUUUUACGAACAGACUCCGAAUUAGAGGACAAAACGAUCCGAAAGUGGGAAUAAUUCGCGGUGGUGGCUAGAAAUUGAUGGAAAUGGUGGGGAAAAACAUACGAACUAGACUCUAACAAGACCUAACCAGCAACAUCCUCGACCAAGACACAAACUCAAAAUUGCGGACUCUGAAACUGAAAUAUGCAAAGGCUAUUGCGCGGAAGGGUUGUAGAACAAGAAAACGAUAUGGCACUGGACUUAUGGGACGAAUACAAGAACACUCGAAACUAAGUGUAGAUGUGAACCUAACGGUAUACCUGAAGCUUUAUUACCACUUGAUGAGAUCAAGGGUGGCCCGAUCUUUCGACAGGUUCUGGUAACUCUCGAUUUGGUGGAGACGAGACACAAAUCAAUGCGGCUUCCAAACAACGCGAUCUGAAACCCUGCAAUUUUUUUAUUUUAUUGAUAUUUUUAUUUUACUUAGGAGCAUUAAAGAAGUAACCAUAAAAAAUUUGAGCUUAAACAAGUAAAAGACGUUUCCUGCAGAAUUUUCUGAAGAUCGCAAAAAAUGUGAAAAAAACAUCACAAGGUGAAAACUGAAACUUCGGAGGUGAAUUUGGAGAUUCUAAAACUUUCAAACCCGUAAAUAGCAGUAACAGACAGAUCCGAAUUUUUUUGAUCGAUUUUGAUAUAUGGAACAUUAAAAUCGGAGUUUGUAUGUGCAAGUUAUAGCUGUUUUACGAACGGACUCUGAAUCAGAGGACAAAACGGUCCGAAAGUGGGAAAAAGUUGCAGCGAUGGCUAGAAAUUGAUGGAAACGUUCGGAAAAAAACACGAACUAGACUCUAACAAGACCUAACCAGCAACAAGUCCUCGACCAGGACACAAACUCAAAACUGCAGACUCGGAAACUGAUAUAAAAAGGCUAUGGCGCGGAAGGGUUGUAGGACACAAAAACGAUAUGGCACUGGACUUAUGGGACGAACACAAGAACACUCGAAACUAAGGGUAGAUGUGAACCUAACGGUAUACCUGAAGCUUCGAUUACCACUUGAUGAGAACAAGGGUGGCCGGAUCUUCUGAAAGGUUCUGUUAACUCUCGAUUUGGUGGAGACGAGACACAAAUCGAUCCGGCUUCCGAACAACACGAAGGCAAACCCUGCAAUUUUUUUUAUUUUUUUGAUAUUUUUCUUUUACUUAGGUGCACUAAAGAAGUAACCACAGAAAAUUUGAGCUUAAUCAAGUGAAAGACGUGGCCUGCAGAAUUUUGUAAAGAUUGUGAAAAAUGUGAAAAAAAACUUCACAAGGUGAUAACUUAAACUUCGGAGGUGUAUUUGGAAAUUUUAAAAUUUUCAAUCCCGCUAGUGGUAGGGACAGGCAAACCCGAAAUUUUUUCUGAUUGAUUUUGAUAUAUGGAACAUUGAAAUCGGAGUUCGUACGCGAAUGUUAUGGCUAUUUUACGAACAGACUCCGAAUUAGAGAACAAAACGGUCCGAAAGUGGGAAAAAUUUGCGGCGGUGGCUAGAAAUUGAUGGAAACCUGCGGACUUUGAAUGUGAAAUAUGCAAAAGCUAUGGCGCGGAAGGGUUGUAGAAUAGGAAAAUAAUAUGGCACUGGACUUAUGGGACGAACACAAGAACACUCGAAACUAAGGGUAGAUGUGAACCUAACGGUAUACCUAAAGCUUUGAUUACCACUUGAUGAGAACAAGGAUGGCCCGAUCUUCCGAAAGGUUCUGGUAACUCUCGAUUUGGUGGAGACGAGACACAAAUCGAUACGGCUUCUGAACAACACAAUCUGAAACCCUUCAUUUUUUUAUUUUUUUGAUAUUUUUAUUUUACUUAGGAGCACUAAAGGAGUAACCACAUAAAAUUUGAGCUUAAACAAGUGAAAGACAUGGCCUGUGGAAUUUCUGAAGAUUGUGAAAAAUGUGAAAAGAACUUCACGUAUUGGAAACUCAAACUUCGGAGGCGAAUUUCAGGAUUCUAAAGUGGUCAAACCCGCGAAAGUUAGGGACAAACAGACCUGAAAUUUUUUUCUGAUCGAUUUUGAUAUAUGGAACGUUGAAAUCGGAGUUCGUAUGCAAAAGUUAUGGCUGUUUUACGAACAGACUCCGAAUUAGAGGACAAAACGGUCCGAAAGUGGGAAAAAUUUGCGGCGGUGGCUAGAAAUUGAUGGAAACGGUGGGGAAAACACAUGAACUGGACUCUAACAAGACCUAACCAGCAACAAGACCUCGACCAGGACACAAACUCAACACUGCGGACUCUGAAACUGAAAUAUGCAAAGGCUAUGGCGUGGAAGGGUUGUAGGAUGGAAAAACGAUAUGGCACUGGACUUAUGGGACGAACACAACACUCAAAACUAAGGGUAGAUGUGAACCUAAUGGUAUACCUGAAGCUUUGAUUACCACUUGAUGAGAACAAGGGUGGCCCGAUCUUCUGAAUGGUUCUGGUAACUCUCGAUUUGGUGAAGACGAGACACAAAUCGAUCUGGCUUCCGAACAACACGAUCCGAAAUCCCGCAUUUUUUUAUUUUUUUAAUAUUUUCCUUUUACUUAGGAGCACUAAAGAAGUAACCAUAGAAAAAUUGAGCUUAAACAAGUAAAAGACGUGGCCUGCGGAAUUUUGUGAAGAUUACAAAAAAUGUGAAAAAAACUUCACAAG